This 899-nucleotide long non-coding RNA is filed under the name Lupinus angustifolius (narrow-leaved blue lupine). Its description in RNAcentral is "long non-coding RNA (LANG_LNC001205)". The record is from RNAcentral. Lineage: Eukaryota; Viridiplantae; Streptophyta; Magnoliopsida; Fabales; Fabaceae.
CUACUUUGACCUAUGAUAUUGAUGUAAGAUGAUUUUACUUUCUUAUUGCUUAGAUAUUGACUCUAUUUAGAUUGGUCCAAGUGUACUUUGGUAGUUUGGAUUAUAUAUUAUGCUGAAAACGUCCAUUGUCUCUUUCAACUUGUCAUCUCAGUACAAAUCUGUGAUAAAGCAAGUCAAAGAAGAAGAACAAAAAGAUGUGCAAUUCCGAUGGUAAUUGCAGGCCUUUGGGAUUCUUACUGGGUCUUCCCUUUGCCUUUCUCUGCCUCGUUAUCUCAAUUGUUGGAAUAGUUAUCUGGAUUGUUGGGUAAAUUACUCCUUCCCCCUUUUACUUCACUUAUAUUAAUUUUGAUGCUGUGAUCUCUGAUUGGUAGAAAAAUUGAAACUUUGAUUAUGAUGAUGAAAAUAAUUGCAGAUUGUUGCUGACAAUCAUAUGCCCCUGCUGUUUGUGCGUGACGGUAAUAGUGGAGUUUGCAUUAGUGUUGAUCAAGGCUCCACUUCACGUCAUGGAAUGGUGCACUUCUAAGAUCCCUUGCUGACCCUACCUCUUUUCCUUUUCUAAAAUCUGUUUUUUUCUUCAUUGUUUAAUCUUUUCAUUUGGAUUUCGGAGUGGGGUUUUUCAGUUAUUCAUAUUUGUAUGGUCUUUCUUUUUGUUUAUAUGGAUCGAGACAAAAAUAAUAAUUCAUUGGUUAUGAGUUAUGAAGUUGUUCAAUUGAGUACGAAUAAACAUAGAUGUAUCAUGUAUAUGAAAUUCAAGUAUGAGAAGUGUUAGUUCAGUAAUGGAUUCUCGCUCCUAUUUUUUCUUUCUUAUAUUAUGAACUUUUGGGGACUGGUCCUGCUUCUUGUUGUAUAUAAUCAAAUGAAAGAAAACAAAAUAUUACUGUUUCUUAGACUUAUUCAGG